RNAcentral lists this ribosomal RNA (575 nucleotides) under Salmonella enterica subsp. enterica serovar Enteritidis. RNAcentral describes it as "partial 23S ribosomal RNA". It matches the Rfam family "Bacterial large subunit ribosomal RNA", at positions 48 to 666 of the family's 2925-position model. The record is from RNAcentral. Lineage: Bacteria; Pseudomonadati; Pseudomonadota; Gammaproteobacteria; Enterobacterales; Enterobacteriaceae.
GAUGAAGGGCGUGCUAAUCUGCGAUAAGCGCCGGUAAGGUGAUAUGAACCGUUAUAACCGGCGAUACCCGAAUGGGGAAACCCAGUGUGACUCGUCACACUAUCAUUAACUGAAUCCAUAGGUUAAUGAGGCGAACCGGGGGAACUGAAACAUCUAAGUACCCCGAGGAAAAGAAAUCAACCGAGAUUCCCCCAGUAGCGGCGAGCGAACGGGGAGGAGCCCAGAGCCUGAAUCAGCAUGUGUGUUAGUGGAAGCGUCUGGAAAGGCGCGCGAUACAGGGUGACAGCCCCGUACACAAAAGCGCAUGUGCUGUGAGCUCGAUGAGUAGGGCGGGACACGUGGUAUCCUGUCUGAAUAUGGGGGGACCAUCCUCCAAGGCUAAAUACUCCUGACUGACCGAUAGUGAACCAGUACCGUGAGGGAAAGGCGAAAAGAACCCCGGCGAGGGGAGUGAAAAAGAACCUGAAACCGUGUACGUACAAGCAGUGGGAGCACCCUUUGGGUGUGACUGCGUACCUUUUGUAUAAUGGGUCAGCGACUUAUAUUCUGUAGCAAGGUUAACCGAAUAGGGGAGC